UCUAGAGAUUUGGCGGACGGGUGAGUAACACGUGGGUAACCUGCCCAUAAGACUGGGAUAACUCCGGGAAACCGGGGCUAAUACCGGAUAACAUUUUGAACUGCAUGGUUCGAAAUUGAAAGGCGGCUUCGGCUGUCACUUAUGGAUGGACCCGCGUCGCAUUAGCUAGUUGGUGAGGUAACGGCUCACCAAGGCAACGAUGCGUAGCCGACCUGAGAGGGUGAUCGGCCACACUGGGACUGAGACACGGCCCAGACUCCUACGGGAGGCAGCAGUAGGGAAUCUUCCGCAAUGGACGAAAGUCUGACGGAGCAACGCCGCGUGAGUGAUGAAGGCUUUCGGGUCGUAAAACUCUGUUGUUAGGGAAGAACAAGUGCUAGUUGAAUAAGCUGGCACCUUGACGGUACCUAACCAGAAAGCCACGGCUAACUACGUGCCAGCAGCCGCGGUAAUCGUCGAC
Molecule: ribosomal RNA, 460 nt
Filed under: uncultured Bacillus sp.
Lineage: Bacteria; Bacillati; Bacillota; Bacilli; Caryophanales; Bacillaceae
Description: bacterial SSU rRNA
Rfam family: Bacterial small subunit ribosomal RNA
Source: RNAcentral